Molecule: small nuclear RNA, 107 nt
Filed under: Chinchilla lanigera (long-tailed chinchilla)
Lineage: Eukaryota; Metazoa; Chordata; Mammalia; Rodentia; Chinchillidae
Source: RNAcentral
GUGCUCGCUUCAGCAGUACAUAUACUAAAAUUGAGGCGAUACAGAGACGAUUAGCAUGGCCCCUGCACAAGGACAACACAUGUCUUGGUUAUUUUUCUCUCAUUGCU